UACCGACACACACUACCUCUAUGCAUCCCCAGAAUAGCAUGGGUGUAUGAGCCAAACGGGGCCAGGGUAGCAGUUUUGCAUUGUUUCGAAACAGGUGAUUUCAGCCCCCUGGGCCUGAGCAGGAAGGGGUAGCCCAGGGACAAUGGGCAUAGCCCCAUGUCUGGAGUGGAGAUAUUUUGGCAAGACCCACAGAACUCUUUCUUCUCAGGUCUCACGGCCUCUGUUCGAGUUUUCCUUCAAGCUGGGGUAUGGCCGUCAAUGUGUACUCCACUUCUGUGACCAGUGAGAAUCUGAGUCGCCAUGAUAUGCUUGCGUGGGUCAAUGACUCUCUGCACCUCAAUUAUACCAAGAUCGAACAGCUCUGUUCAGGGGCAGCCUACUGCCAGUUCAUGGA
This 394-nucleotide long non-coding RNA is filed under the name Rattus norvegicus (Norway rat). Its description in RNAcentral is "long non-coding RNA NONRATT024869". The record is from RNAcentral. Lineage: Eukaryota; Metazoa; Chordata; Mammalia; Rodentia; Muridae.